CUGGCCGACCUCCCGAAGGGAGGGAUAAGGGUCUGGGAUUGGUGGACGUGGUCACGGACAUUGAGAAGUUUAGGAACACAGAGGAGGCUGUGGAGCGGAGAGAGGAACCAUCAGAACUGUGUAAGCGGGAGACAGAAGCAUAGACUGAAGACCGGCUGAGACAUCCAGCCUUGUGGACUGAGCAACUGCUGGAUUCUUGGACCACUCACUGUUGGACUAGCUGAACUAUAGCAUCUGCUGGUCAGAGCCGUGGCAGAUUUUUCUGGUACUUUGGGCUUCCUAAGCACUUCCUCUAACGUUCUUCUCACCACCUGUGCGUCUUGUCCACACUGUGUCUGACCUCCUGUCACCCCCUGGUGACCCUAUCUCACUUCCUGUUCUCCGGAUUCUCUCCACGUGGCAACAAGUCUCUCCUUGGUCCUUCCAUGGGGAAGUCAAGCCUCACAGAGAAGAUUCAUUACCCACAAGUGCCUGCAUAGUUCCUGGAAUCGCUCUGAUGGGGCCAGGACCAAAUUUGUUGGCUCCCGAAUGAGCCCUGAGCUCAGGCACCGGCAGAGGAGCCUGGGGGAAGAGCGGUGGAUUUAGGGUUGGGCGGAGAGACACAGAGUCAUGGGCUUUUACUGGAAUAUGAGUGGGCGUGUGUGUUUUCAUAUCUCUGCAAUCAUCCAUACCUGCACAGUGCCUGGCACAUCUCGGCCCCCGGGGGAAAUCCAUGUUCCCUGACAGUAUGGCUCCCCUGAGUCUUCAUGCAGAGACAGGAGCUGUGUUCCGGGAUAAGGUCAGCGUGGGCACAAGGAGCUAUCAAUGCCUGUGCCUGAGUCAAGAUGCUCUGAAUGCCUUCAAAGCACAGGUCUGGUUUAGAUAGUUAAUAAGUAAUCUUUCUUGGGAAAUGUGAGGUAGAAGGGGGGGAAAAGCCCAGCGUGGUGAGGUUGCGGUGUCUAAGGGCUGCUUCAGGUUACCGUAGCCUGAGUUCGCCGACAGCGGAACCUGGGCGCCCAGUCGCUUCACUUCUCCCUUCCUCCCUUCUUUGUUUUGUCAACUUUACACUUUAUCUUAAAAUUUUAAUUAUGAGUAAUAGGUUUUCUUCCUCCUCUUCCCCCCCCCCAAUCAGUUUCUCUACCGAUGUAGUAAGCUAGAUCAAGCCAAAUUUAAAAAGUGUAAUACCAGGUUUAUUUGAGCAAGGCAACUCCCCGGUGGGUUCUCUAGUUCCCGGAGAUCAAGGCUGGAGAAGCUGCACCCCCAAACAAAAGGAGGGAGACUUUAUAGCUUGGAGGCCAGAGGUGAUGAUGUAUCCGCCACAAGCUGGGUUUGGUGCCAACUAUGGUCAAAAGCUGAGCACUUUAGGUGGGGACUUGGGUGGCUGGCAACUUCAGGGGAGGAAGCUGUAGUAGCCGCCAAGGAGGUGGAACUGGGCUUUUUGGUGUCUAUCCUUUGUUUGGAGACACUCUUCAGUGGGCAGCGUUUGGAGAGAGAUAGGAACAAGGCUUUCUGGAUCAUGCAG
Non-coding RNA from Peromyscus maniculatus bairdii (prairie deer mouse), 1501 nucleotides. NCBI's taxonomy places the organism in Eukaryota, Metazoa, Chordata, Mammalia, Rodentia, Cricetidae. The record is from RefSeq and is a predicted model, not a curated record.